GACGAACGCUGGCGGCGUGCUUAACACAUGCAAGUCGAGCGGAAAGGCCCUUCGGGGUACUCGAGCGGCGAACGGGUGAGUAACACGUGAGUAAUCUGCCCUUGGCUUUGGGAUAACUACCGGAAACGGUGGCUAAUACCGGAUACGACAACCGUCUGCAUGGGCUGGUUGUGGAAAGUUUUUUCGGCCAGGGAUGUGCUCGCGGCCUAUCAGCUUGUUGGUGGGGUAAUGGCCUACCAAGGCUUCGACGGGUAGCCGGCCUGAGAGGGUGACCGGCCACACUGGGACUGAGACACGGCCCAGACUCCGACGGGGGGCAGCAGUGGGGAAUAUUGGACAAUGGGCGGGAGCCUGACCCGGCAACGCCGCGGGAGGGAGGACGGCCUUCGGGUUGUAAACCUCUUUCAGUACCGACGAAGCGCCGAUGAUGGUGGUGACGGUAGGUACAGAAGAAGCACCGGCCAACUACGUG
Molecule: ribosomal RNA, 472 nt
Filed under: uncultured bacterium
Lineage: Bacteria
Description: partial 16S ribosomal RNA
Rfam family: Bacterial small subunit ribosomal RNA
Source: RNAcentral